RNAcentral lists this unclassified non-coding RNA (391 nucleotides) under soil metagenome. RNAcentral's name for it is "partial contains 5.8S ribosomal RNA, internal transcribed spacer 2, and large subunit ribosomal RNA". The stretch from base 1 to 122 matches the Rfam family "5.8S ribosomal RNA", at positions 35 to 154 of the family's 154-position model. The record is from RNAcentral.
GAUGAAGAACGUAGCGAAAUGCGAUACUUGGUGUGAAUUGCAGAAUCCCGUGAACCAUCGAGUCUUUGAACGCAAGUUGCGCCCGAAGCCAUUAGGCCGAGGGCACGCCUGCCUGGGCGUCACACGUCGUUGCCCCCCCAUCUACUCCUUCGGGAUUGCGGGGGGCGGAUGAUGGCCUCCCGUGCGCCUCGUCGCGCGGUUGGCCUAAAUGCCAAGUCCUCGGCGACGCACGCCACGACAAUCGGUGGUUGCGAAACCUCGGUUGCCUGUCGUGUGCGGUCGUCGCGCAUCGAGGGCUCGAAAAAAUUGCCGGGCUUCGGCUCGACUUUCAACGCGACCCCAGGUCAGGCGGGGUUACCCGCUGAACUUAAGCAUAUCAAUAAGCGGAGGA